UUUGGUCCAUAGACAAAUUAUAGUAAUUAUGCUCUCAAAAGGAGAAUUGACAGAGAUAAAGAAAAAAAGUGAAAUCCAAUAGCAAAAUUUUAAAACACACGUAUCCUCAUACAACUUCGGCAUCAAAUAAGCCAGCCAAACAACAUAAAUAAUAACUCAAAGUUACCAUUUUGAACCUAGCUUGUUUGAAUUCCAAGUGUUUGGCCUUUAUAUAGUCCCUUGAGCCUUGUAAAUCAUGGCUGUUGGGAGACUGUACAACAACUCCACCAUGAACAAUUCAACAUAUUUACAAGCACCUAUUCUUGUACGAAAUUCUUAUCAGAAGCUUAUUGCAAUGCUUUAGGUGUUGCCCAAAGGCCCACUAUUUUAGUAGCAUUCCGUUUACUCCUUUCCCAACGUGACCACUUUCUACCAGUUCACAGAGUUAGUGACGAGAAUCUAGUGAUUGCAGCCGAUUUAAGAAAUACUAUGUGUAGGUCGUUGGCAGCCCACCACACCUGUUAGAGCUCACGGAGCCAUUGUUGAGCUAGGACUGCAAAAUACAUGAAAGUUUACCAACUUAAUUGGUUACCCUUGCGAUAUACAUAGCUAAGUUUUGAACUAUAUAGAUAGAGUGCUUAAUCAUAAUUACUGCAAAUCUGAAGUUGCACAAUUCCAAUUAAAUUUGAUGCAUGCGAGAUGACUUACCUUCUUCAUGACCCUGGUAGUUGUCACUGAGCAUUGCGAUAAUUGCAACACUCCAAAUAAAUUCAAUGCCGAAGAGAUGAGUUGCCUUCUUGGCAAUGAACCCUCAAUAGUGAAUUUCUAAGGUCCCUGAAUGAACAUAUGUGGAAGAUAUUCUACAGUUCUAGAUAUAUGGCACAACCUCAGUUACAGAAUGGUUAGUAUACUUACAAUCUAACUGAGAGGCCCCACAUAUGCAAAUUCAGACCUCCGAUAGGAAACACUGAAUCUCAGCAGGAAAGAUCAAAUACAUGCAUCCCUGUUCGAGGUAUUAAUAUGGGUAAUUUUUAAUUGAUGCGCUAGAUGGUAUCAUCAUCCAAUUAUAAAAGAACUCGUGAUUAUAAGAAAAUCUUACUAUAUUCCAUCAAAAUAUACAAUCCUGUGAGGCUAAGAUAACAGCAAGAGCAUAAAAUUCUACAAAAAAAACAACUUGUCACGACAUUUUAGAAAUAGUUAAUAUUUUCUCACUGGAAAUGUCUAUUUGUGAGUUGUACACUUAACAUGGAAUAUACUGAUCUAUUUGUUGACUUCUUAGUUUCAGAUGUUCGUAUGCGACUUUAUAUUUGCUCUGGGUAAAGAAUGAGCAAAAUAUCUUUUCUUGAAUAUAGCUUCUUAUAC
Molecule: long non-coding RNA, 1341 nt
Filed under: Triticum aestivum (bread wheat)
Lineage: Eukaryota; Viridiplantae; Streptophyta; Magnoliopsida; Poales; Poaceae
Description: long non-coding RNA (TAES_LNC017118)
Source: RNAcentral